CAUGCAAGUCGAGGGGUAGGGUUACUUCGGUAAUCUGAGACCCCCGCACGGGUGCNUAACGCGUAUGCAAUCUACCUUUUACUAUGUCCUAGCCCAGAGAAAUUUGGAUUAAUACCAUAUAGUAUAUUUGAAUGGCAUCGUUUGAAUAUUAAAGAUUUAUCGGUAAAAGAUGAGCAUGCGUCCCAUUAGUUAGUUGGUGUGGCAACGGCAUACCAAGACGAUGAUGGGUAGGGGUCCUGAGAGGGAGAUCCCCCACACUGGUACUGAGACACGGACCAGACUCCUACGGGAGGCAGCAGUGAGGAAUAUUGGUCAAUGGAGGCAACUCUGAACCAGCCAUGCCGCGUGCAGGAUGACGGUCCUAUGGAUUGUAAACUGCUUUUGUACGGGGAAGAAAACAAACUACGAGUAGUUAAUUGACGGUACCGUAAGAAUAAGGAUCGGCUAACUCCGUGCCAGCAGCCGCGGUAAUACGGAGGAUCCCAAGCGUUAUCCGGAAUCAUUGGGUUUAAAGGGUCCGUAGGCGGCCUUAUAAGUCAGUGGUGAAAGUUUUUGGCUUAACCAAAAAAUUGCCAUUUGAUACUGGUAGGGCUUUGAAUAUCUGUGAAGUUAACUAGAAUAUGUAUUGUA
RNAcentral lists this ribosomal RNA (630 nucleotides) under uncultured Flavobacterium sp. Its description in RNAcentral is "bacterial SSU rRNA". It matches the Rfam family "Bacterial small subunit ribosomal RNA", at positions 54 to 677 of the family's 1533-position model. Lineage: Bacteria; Pseudomonadati; Bacteroidota; Flavobacteriia; Flavobacteriales; Flavobacteriaceae. The record is from RNAcentral.